Onychostoma macrolepis is the source of this 1968-nucleotide RNA transcript. RefSeq lists it as uncharacterized. The record is from RefSeq and is a predicted model, not a curated record. The transcript is spliced from 12 exons. NCBI's taxonomy places the organism in Eukaryota, Metazoa, Chordata, Actinopteri, Cypriniformes, Cyprinidae.
UUUAGGCUAUAAUAAUCACUCUGUAGCUUAUCAGAAAACAGUAUUAUAUAAGCCUAGGUACCUCAGACUCAUUCAGUCUGUGAUUGCAUCUAGCUGAAAUCAAGUUGUGUUGCUGGUAGACUUAAGUAACAUGUACUUGUAUCCAGAUAAUGAGCUCAUUAUAAUGAGGUUGAACCAUGUGGAAUAUGUUUAUACUGUUAUCAAAUCAAAUACUGCAUAAACAUAUUCCACAUGGUUCAACUUCUUAUUGCAUCCACAGGUUAAUUGUACUAUUAUUUCCAUUUAUUAUUUCCUAGUUCUGUUGUUAUUCAUUUUUUAAAUGUAAUUUCCCCCCGUAUUUGAAAUGUAUAGAUAUGUAGAUUCAACCAAAAAAGUAUGCAUUGGUGGUCUAACUUGGUUUUAUUCCUCUGUGUGCUGUUGUAGUUACACACAACCAGAUCGGGAACUACCUGCUCACUGAAGAGCUUCCUGCAGCCAGUCUUGAUCCUCAAGUGGAAUUUGAAAAAAACAUGGAGAGCCUCUCUGCUAUGAUGUCUGACUCCCCUGAAAUCCAGAGGGCAUCAUCAUCAUGGACUUUCAGGCAGCAGCAAGCCUCACAAAGAUGGAAGGAGGCAAGGCCAUUCCACCUUAAAUGCCUCAUCCAAACUCAGGAUGUUGGCCAACCAUUUUGUAGCCAUUGCAGCAAGCCUGCGGUUGUUAGAUGCAGAGAGUGUCUACCAGAUCAGUGGUUCUGUGAAACCUGCGAUACCAAGAAUCACAGGAGAUGGCCACUCCACGAUAGGGAGUCAGUCCUUGAGGGCUUUUUUAAAGCUAUUCCCCCAUCCACAUAUUUUGUAAGAGGGGAGGGAGGAUACAGCUCACACGACCAAGCUUGUAUUUUGCCAACGGUGAGAGUGACUCAAAAAUGUCCCUGUGAAGUCCCCAGCAUAACUCUGUCACCUGGCAAAGCGGUCAUUUUAAUUACCAUCAAUGGGCGUUAUGACAUGCACCAGCAAUUGUUUGCAUGUCAAACAUGCCAGCAGCAGUGGGCUCCAGAGUUCAUGGACCUCGUAAACAGUGGAUACUGGCCAGCUUCCACCAGCUCUUCUAUUUUGUAUUCCCUCAACCUUUUCAGCAGUGUAAGAGAACUGAAAGUCAUCGCUCCGGCACUGUCCAGACAAGCCUUUGCAAAGCUGCUGGAGCAUCGUACAAAGUGUGGUGGGCGGUCAGGACCAGUGUGCGGGGACACGCUGCAGCGCAGCUUCCUGGAGUUUUCCUAUUGUGCUUUUGAGGAAGAUCACUUGUCCUGCGGUGCACCUUUCACCUGCCCCGCUUGCACCCCAGACAUGCUGGCAAUCUCUGUGGAUGGCAACAGGAAGCUAUACCGGUUUCUCCGAAACGGAAGCUCCGACUCUUCGUUUUUUGAAGGGGCAUUUAUCGCAGAAGACACAUCUGUGUCUGCAUUUGUUGAUGUCUUGCAUAAAGCUGUGAAACAGCUACCUGGACAAGGCAGAUGUGGGAGCUCCUCGUGGACAGCAGCGAAGGAGACUUCUAGGAGGACCUUCAAGUUGGACGAAGAGGGCAUGGAGGUUGCGGUGUGUCGGCAUGGUUUCCUCCUUAAAGCGCUUAAUAUGUUCAGAGGUGAAAUCUUUGCCUACCCCAUGUAUCUGCACAAGGAGUUGAUGAGUAAUGUGUAAAUACUGGCCAUAUUUACACACAUCAGCAAACAUCCUUCCUGAUCUCCAGGGGCUAACAUCAAUCAGGCCUUUCCUAAGCGUCAUGCACGCUACAGCACAUUCCACUAAGUGUGAGAUUACAUGGAGUGGCAAAAACCAAGAAGGAGCAGGGUCAACUGCGGGGGAGGAAGUUGAACAGCACGUGUGGAUAUGCUUACAAUCCAUGCUAUGGCCUGGAACUACAAAAAAAUCGCAACACUACAUCGGGCAUUGUCUGCAAGAUAUGUGAAGACUUGCCAGAGGCUUCAGGAGG